This 860-nucleotide ribosomal RNA is filed under the name uncultured organism. RNAcentral describes it as "bacterial SSU rRNA". It matches the Rfam family "Bacterial small subunit ribosomal RNA", at positions 8 to 840 of the family's 1533-position model. The record is from RNAcentral.
AGAGUUGACCUGGCUCAGAAUGAACGCUGGCGGCGUGCCUAACACAUGCAAGUCGCACGAGACCUCCCGGGGCUUGCCCUGGGACAGUAAAGUGGCGCACGGGUGAGUAUCGCGUGGGUAAUCAGCCCCGGAAUCGGGGAUAACAUUGCGAAAGCGAUGCUAAUACCGGAUAAUGAUCCGAUGGUUAGGGCCAUCGGAUCCGAAGGCGACCUCUACGAGUAAGUUGUCGUUUCGGGACGAGCCCGCGUACCAUUAGCCAGUUGGUGGGGUAACGGCCCACCAAGGCGACGAUGGUUAGCUGGUCUGAGAGGGUGAUCAGCCACACCGGAACUGGAACACGGUCCGGACUCCUACGGGAGGCAGCAGUGAGGAAUUUUGCGCAAUGGGGGAAACCCUGACGCAGCAACGCCGCGUGAGUGACGAAGGCUUUCGGGUCGUAAAGCUCUGUCAGGCGGGAAGAACCCGCGGGUGUGUAAAAUGCGCCCGUGCUGACGGUACCGCCGGAGGAAGCACCGGCUAACUCCGUGCCAGCAGCCGCGGUAAUACGGAGGGUGCGAGCGUUAUUCGGAAUUACUGGGCGUAAAGAGCGCGUAGGCGGCCGUUUUAGUCGGAUGUGAAAGCCCGGGGCUCAACCCCGGAAGUGCAUCCGAUACUGGGCGGCUUGAGUAUGGGAGAGGGAAGCGGAAUUCCUGGUGUAGCGGUGAAAUGCGUAGAUAUCAGGAGGAACACCGGUGGCGAAGGCGGCUUCCUGGACCAAUACUGACGCUGAGGCGCGAAGGCGUGGGGAGCAAACAGGAUUAGAUACCCUGGUAGUCCACGCAGUAAACGGUGAUCACUAGGUGUGGCGGGUAUUGACCCCU